Molecule: ribosomal RNA, 148 nt
Filed under: Pseudomonas sp. ICMP 19500
Lineage: Bacteria; Pseudomonadati; Pseudomonadota; Gammaproteobacteria; Pseudomonadales; Pseudomonadaceae
Source: RNAcentral
CUUGACGACCAUAGAGCAUUGGAACCACCUGAUCCCAUCCCGAACUCAGCAGUGAAACGAUGCAUCNCAUCCCGAACUCAGCAGUGAAACGAUGCAUCGCCGAUGGUAGUGUGGGGUUUCCCCAUGUGAGAGUAGGUCAUCGUCAAGA